GGCUUGCAAGAGUUCAGACAAGUAGAAGUCAUACCGCAGAAGAUCUGUCCGGUUGCUGCCGUGAGUGUAAAGGCAAGAACCAAGGUAAGAACGAUAAGCUUAGUGUUUGGCUCCAUGGCUUUAUAUACUUUGAGAGAGUAUUUACCUAAAUGUCUUUUCAACAAUUUGUUGGGUUUGCUCUUCUCUUAGCUUAGGAUAGGCUAUACUACCUGCUUCAUAGGGUUUAUAUUGAGAGAAUAGGCACGUAACUGGUGAGAUUUAGAUAAAACGAAAUUAUAAUUUUAACAUGAAAGCAUGUUCACAGGCUUUUGAUAUUAUUCAGUAUCCAUAUUCAUGAGCACAUGUAGUGGAAAUAUCGAAUGUCGAAAAUGGUCUAUACUAUAGAGUAAGAAGACCCGUGAGACAUUGACAUUACUAUGUUCCAAUGUGAUAACUCGUCACGGGUGUUUUGGUGGCCUCAAAUUUUCUUAGGGGCUCAAAUUCAAUUUAAUUGCUUUCACAUGCACAGUAUGUAGGUACUUGUACUUGAUAUAUCUUGGAAGCAUUAUCCCAAUUUGACAAUUUAUUAAUGAGAAUAGUUGGUGGUCGGCUCUGUGAGUUAUGUAGCAGGCAAAAUGUGUCUUAUGGUUGUAUUUUGUGUUUUAUUAUCCCAAGCUAUGAUCUAACAUGUGUAGAUGAAUGUAUGAAGACAUUCUAAAAUAGAGCUAAUCAUAUAUUGCAGCUUGACCUCACAUUGCAUAAGUAGAAAGUGGAUUGAUUCUUAACCCCGAAAUACAAAAGUAAAAAAUAUUCCAUCAUGUGAAGUUGUGAACUGAAAGCAAUGAAAGUUUAUUUGUUUACUAAUUUGAGGGAAUUUUUUGCAGUCUCAACAAGUGGAACAGAACGAAGAUUGAAAUGCGUAGCAGAGGUCAAGUAGACACAGGCCAAAGAGACAUAAAUCCUGAACCAAAUCAUUGAUGAGAAGAAGGUGAGAUGUGUACAGAUGGUGGUGAAGGCAAUCACUGCCAAACAGUUUAUGAGGUACUUCUUUGUGUUGAACUCUUUCUCUGUUCCUUCGUUAGGGAAAUGACCAUUGGAGUAAAAGUCAUUGAGCAGCUGGUCUUUGAGCUGGAAUGUGUUCAUUAACCAAGCAUUGAUGUCCUUUUCUUGAUUUGGGAUUUGGGUCAGGUUGAUACGACGGAUGUGGAUGUGAACUUCUGAUGGCUCAAUUCCAUAAACGUUGUCUAAGAAAGAUGGGCAGCGGGUUUUAUAACCGAUGGUCACAUC
RNAcentral lists this long non-coding RNA (1266 nucleotides) under Arabidopsis thaliana (thale cress). Its description in RNAcentral is "long non-coding RNA (ATHA_LNC000108)". The record is from RNAcentral. Lineage: Eukaryota; Viridiplantae; Streptophyta; Magnoliopsida; Brassicales; Brassicaceae.